Molecule: ribosomal RNA, 253 nt
Filed under: uncultured bacterium
Lineage: Bacteria
Description: partial 16S ribosomal RNA
Rfam family: Bacterial small subunit ribosomal RNA
Source: RNAcentral
UACGGAGGGUGCGAGCGUUAAUCGGAAUUACUGGGCGUAAAGCGUACGUAGGCGGUUGGGUAAGUCGGAUGUGAAAGCCCCGGGCUUAACCUGGGAACUGCAUUCGAUACUGCUCGGCUAGAGAAUGGGAGAGGGAAGCGGAAUUUCCGGUGUAGCGGUGAAAUGCGUAGAUAUCGGAAGGAACACCAAUGGCGAAGGCAGCGUCCUGGCCCAAUACUGACGCUCAGGUGCGAAAGCGUGGGGAUCAAACAUG